This 397-nucleotide ribosomal RNA is filed under the name uncultured bacterium. RNAcentral describes it as "partial 16S ribosomal RNA". It matches the Rfam family "Bacterial small subunit ribosomal RNA", at positions 523 to 918 of the family's 1533-position model. The record is from RNAcentral.
AUACGUAGGGGGCGAGCGUUGUCCGGAAUGAUUGGGCGUAAAGGGCGCGUAGGCGGCCUGUUAAGUCUGGAGUGAAAGUCCUGUUUUCAAGAUGGGAAUUGCUUUGGAUACUGAUGGGCUUGAGUGCAGGAGAGGUUAUCGGAAUUCCCGGUGUAGCGGUGAAAUGCGUAGAGAUCGGGAGGAACACCAGUGGCGAAGGCGGGUAACUGGACUGCAACUGACGCUGAGGCGCGAAAGUGUGGGGAGCAAACAGGAUUAGAUACCCUGGUAGUCCACACUGUAAACGAUGAAUGCUAGGUGUAAGAGGUAUCGACCCCUUUGGUGCCGGAGUUAACACAAUAAGCAUUCCGCCUGGGGAGUACGGCCGCAAGGUUGGAACUUAAAGGAAUUGACGGGG